GGGGAUAUAGCUCAGUUGGUAGAGUGUUUGCCUCACAUGCACAAGGCCUUCCAUUCAAUCCCCA
This 64-nucleotide transfer RNA is filed under the name Marmota marmota marmota (Alpine marmot). It matches the Rfam family "tRNA". Rfam says of the family: Transfer RNA (tRNA) molecules are approximately 80 nucleotides in length. Their secondary structure includes four short double-helical elements and three loops (D, anti-codon, and T loops). Further hydrogen bonds mediate the characteristic L-shaped molecular structure. tRNAs have two regions of fundamental functional importance: the anti-codon, which is responsible for specific mRNA codon recognition, and the 3' end, to which the tRNAs corresponding amino acid is attached (by aminoacyl-tRNA synthetases). tRNAs cope with the degeneracy of the genetic code in two manners: having more than one tRNA (with a specific anti-codon) for a particular amino acid; and 'wobble' base-pairing, i.e. permitting non-standard base-pairing at the 3rd anti-codon position. RNAcentral also lists the same sequence under 1 other name. Lineage: Eukaryota; Metazoa; Chordata; Mammalia; Rodentia; Sciuridae. The record is from Rfam by way of RNAcentral.